AACGAACGCUGGCGGCAUGCCUAACACAUGCAAGUCGAACGAGACCUUCGGGUCUAGUGGCGCACGGGUGCGUAACGCGUGGGAAUCUGCCCUUUGCUUCGGAAUAACAGUUAGAAAUGACUGCUAAUACCGGAUGAUGUCUUCGGACCAAAGAUUUAUCGGCAAAGGAUGAGCCCGCGUAGGAUUAGGUAGUUGGUGGGGUAAAGGCCUACCAAGCCGACGAUCCUUAGCUGGUCUGAGAGGAUGAUCAGCCACACUGGGACUGAGACACGGCCCAGACUCCUACGGGAGGCAGCAGUGGGGAAUAUUGGACAAUGGGCGCAAGCCUGAUCCAGCAAUGCCGCGUGAGUGAUGAAGGCCUUCGGGUCGUAAAGCUCUUUUACCAGGGAUGAUAAUGACAGUACCUGGAGAAUAAGCUCCGGCUAACUCCGUGCCAGCAGCCGCGG
RNAcentral lists this ribosomal RNA (446 nucleotides) under uncultured bacterium. Its description in RNAcentral is "bacterial SSU rRNA". It matches the Rfam family "Bacterial small subunit ribosomal RNA", at positions 29 to 520 of the family's 1533-position model. The record is from RNAcentral.